Rachicladosporium sp. CCFEE 5018 is the source of this 90-nucleotide small nucleolar RNA. It matches the Rfam family "A. fumigatus snoRNA Afu_300". NCBI's taxonomy places the organism in Eukaryota, Fungi, Ascomycota, Dothideomycetes, Cladosporiales, Cladosporiaceae. The record is from Rfam.
UUGAAUGAUGAUCGAAAUUUUUAUAUACGCAAAAAAGGAAUUACCGACCGAGACCUUCGGGUCGCUGGUGAGAACACGGCUAACCUGAUU